Molecule: long non-coding RNA, 493 nt
Filed under: Salvia miltiorrhiza (redroot sage)
Lineage: Eukaryota; Viridiplantae; Streptophyta; Magnoliopsida; Lamiales; Lamiaceae
Description: long non-coding RNA (SMIL_LNC012732)
Source: RNAcentral
ACACUACUUAAUUUAACACUAAUUAGACUAUAAAUAACUAACCAAACCCUAAAAUCUACAAAAUUCGUCCGCCUCCCAUCUUUUUCUCUCUCUCUUGAAUGUUCUCCCCUCUCCGGCGAACAGCACCGCCGGUUCCUCCCUCAAAUCUCCGGCGAAACAACGGUAGGCGAGCCCACCAUCGGACUCUCGAUAGGGUCGUCGCCCUUGCUGCCGCCAACCAGAGCUCGGCAAGAAACAUGUAAAGCUCCAUCUUCCCAUGGUUAGCCCACAACCACAUCUUUCCAUUUCUCAAACUCGCCAAGAAACUCCAUUGAAGCAGUCGAGCUCCAUCUCCACCCAAACCCCAACCUCCCUCCUCACCUCCAGCUUCUCUCGCAUCCUCGCCGCUCUCCUUCUCGACCUCAUUAGAGAAAAUCAGCCAUGGCUUCGUCGCCUCUCUCUCGUCUACGGCGACUGCAGCAAAGCCACAACCGCGAUUGAAAGUGGAAAAUGG